AGGACGAACGCUGGCGGCGUGCUUAACACAUGCAAGUCGAGCGGAAAGGCCCUUCGGGGUACUCGAGCGGCGAACGGGUGAGUAACACGUGGGCAACCUGCCCCUAGCUCUGGGAUAACUCCGGGAAACCGGGGCUAAUACCGGAUACGAUCUUCCAUGGCAUCUCGGAAGAUGGAAAGUUUUUCGGCUAGGGAUGGGCCCGCGGCCUAUCAGCUUGUUGGUGAGGUAACGCCACAAGGCGACGACGGUAG
This 251-nucleotide ribosomal RNA is filed under the name uncultured soil bacterium. RNAcentral's name for it is "partial 16S ribosomal RNA". It matches the Rfam family "Bacterial small subunit ribosomal RNA", at positions 26 to 286 of the family's 1533-position model. The record is from RNAcentral.